Doryrhamphus excisus (bluestripe pipefish) is the source of this 5266-nucleotide non-coding RNA. The record is from RefSeq and is a predicted model, not a curated record. Lineage: Eukaryota; Metazoa; Chordata; Actinopteri; Syngnathiformes; Syngnathidae.
AGGGGGGGGUUAGGGAGCUGUAUAUUUUGGUAAUUUUGGACUGGAAGUAGGUUAAGAAGUUGUUGCAUUUGGUGGUGGUGAAGGAUGAGGAGGAGUUGUCAUUUGGCUUUAGCAGUGUGUUGAUUGUUGAAAAGAGGGAUUUAGGAUUGUUGGAACUAGAUGUAAUCAGAUUGGAGUAGUAUCGUGAGCGGGCAGUGUUUAAGGCAUCUUUAUAUUGCUGUAGAAAAUCUGUGUAAGCUUGAAGAUGAACAGUUGGGCCAGAUUUCUUGUACAGUCUCUCAAGCUGGCGGUUACGGGUCUUCAUAUUAUGGAGCUGAGGGGUGUACCAGGGGGCAGUGUGGGAGAAGGAGACCAAUUUGUUUUUUUUAGGGGCCAGUUCAUCAAGACAGGAGGAAAGGGUAUUGUUGUAGUAGGAGACAAGUUCAGAGGGGUCCUCAGACAGCAAAUUUUGUGGUUAGAAGUGAGGUAAGGGCAUGAGGGUUGAUGGAUUUGAGAUUCCUGAAGGUUAUUUGACGUUUGAUUUUUGAGACACUAAGAGAUGUGUGUAAAUCAAAUGUGAUGGCCAGAUGGUCUGAUAUGUGCAGGUUAUGGCUAGUGAGGUUGUGAAUAUUGAUACCAGGCUUGACUUGGCGCCGCUCUGGUGGCAGCCUGCUACAGCAGCUCUCGCUCUUCGUUGAGUUAUUUUCUUCUUUAUUCUGUCUUUUUCAUUCUUUUUCUAGGUUAUUGUUAAAGGAACGGCUUCGUAAAUGCUCAGUUCAACUGUCCACCAUAGUGAUAGUGUUGAGCUGGCAUUUCUCAUAAUUUUUCGACGAUGUUUUCGACCGCACGCCGAAACUCUAUUGUUUACAGUAGGGACCAGCUGUUGGCGCUCCGCAACACAGCGGCGCUGCCCCCCGGGGAACCCCUCGAGGUUCCCCGGGAGGUAAAGAGGAGAAGACGGGGAAGCCGUGCCGGAGCCCAAUGCCGCGACAAGAGGAGGAGAUACAGACCAGUUCUCCCGUCCAUCAUCAUGGGGAACGUAAGAUCUCUCCCCAAUAAGAUGGACGAACUAGCGGCGCUGACCCGGCAUCAGAGGCAGUUCCGGGAGUGUAGCGUCAUGUUGUUUACGGAAACGUGGCUGGAUACACGGACCCCAGACACGAUCGCUACACUACACGGAUUCACACUACUGCGGGCGGACAGGACAAAGGAGAGCGGUAAGAGGAAAGGAGGCGGGCUAGCAGUGUUUGUGAAUGAUAGAUGGUGUAACUCUGGGCACAUCACUAUUAAAGAGCAACUCUGCUGCAAAGACAUUGAACUGUUAGCCGUUAGCAUGAGACCGUACUAUCUGCCGCGGGAAUUCUCGCACGUUAUCGCGAUAGCGGCGUACAUUCCCCCCUCUGCUAACGCCGACGCGGCCUGUGACGUCAUCCACUCUGCCGUGGGCCGGCUACAGACACAACAUCCGCAGGCUCUCCUUCUUCUCUCAGGUGAUUUCAACCACGCUUCUCCAUCCUCCACCCUGCCCACCUUCACCCAGUAUGUCACCUGCUGCACCAGAGACAAUAAAACACUGGACUUGUGUUAUGCCAACACCAAGGAGGCAUACAAUUCAACAGCACUUCCUCCCCUGGGAAGAUCAGACCACAACCUGGUACAUCUCCAGCCUGUGUACAAACCUCUGGUACGCAGGCUGCCAGCUGUGUCCCGCACAGUGAAGAGAUGGUCUGAUGAAGCCGACGAGGCUCUGAAGGAUUGUUUCAACACAACAGUGUGGGAGGAACUCUGCCAUCCUCAUGGGGACGAUAUAGACAGUCUCACUGACUGCGUCACAGACUACAUAAACUUCUGUGUGGAAAACACUGUACCCACCAGGACUGUACGGUGUUUCUCCAACAACAAACCGUGGAUUAAUCCGGACAUAAAGGCUCUCCUAAAGGAGAAGAAGAGGGUCUUUAAGUCAGGAAAUAGGGAAGAGCUGAAGGCUGUGCAGAAGGAGCUGAGGAGGAAAAUCAGGGAGGGGAAGGACUGCUACAGGAAAAAGAUGGAGGAACAGCUGCAGCAGAACAACGUCAGAGGAGUCUGGAGAGGCCUGAAAACCAUCUCUGGCCACAAGGGGCCCGACUCCCAGGCUGCUGGGGACCAGGUAAAGGCUAACGAUCUGAAUCUAUUUUUCAACAGGUUUGAUCAACCAUCUGCCCAUCCCCCGGCCCAGCACCUCCUGCCGAAACUUCUGCCGAAACUCCCCCCAUCGACACCUCGAGUGGACAGCCCUACCCCCACCUCCCCCUCCUGCACACAGCCAUCCCCCACCACUUCUCACCUAAUCAGCUCAACCUGCUCACUAACCUCCCCCCGCACACAGCCCCCCUGCUCCAACCUGACCCUCACAACAUCCCAGGUGAGAAACCAGCUCCGGAAGACCAAGGCGAGGAAGGCGGCGGGUCCAGACGGCAUCAGCUCCAGGCUCCUGAAGUCCUGCGCGGACGAGCUGUGCGGGAUUGUUGAGCACAUCUUCAACCUGAGCCUGAAGCUGGGGAGGGUGCCACAGCUGUGGAAGACAUCCUGCGUGGUUCCUGUCCCCAAGACGCCGCACCCCAAGGACCUCAGCAGCUACAGGCCGGUGGCACUUACAUCACACCUGAUGAAGACCCUGGAGCGGCUGAUCCUUGACCAUCUCCGCCCCCUGGUGGGUCCUUCGAUGGACCCGCUCCAGUUCGCCUAUCAACCUGGCACUGGGGUGGACGACGCUGUCAUCUUCCUCCAGCACAGAGCGCUCUCUCACCUGGAGAAACCUGGGAGCACGGUGAGAAUCAUGUUCUUUGAUUUUUCCAGUGCGUUCAACACCAUCCAGCCAGCACUUCUGAGGGACAAGCUGGAGAACACAGGGGUGGACCUGCACCUCACAUCGUGGAUACUGGAUUACCUCACCAACCGUCCACAGUAUGUGAGGACACGGGACUGUGUGUCCGACACAGUUGUCUGCAGUACGGGGGCUCCGCAGGGAACGGUCCUGGCUCCGUUCCUUUUCACCCUCUACACAGCAGACUUCUCCUACAACACACCAACCUGCCACCUGCAGAAGUUCUCUGACGACUCUGCAAUUGUUGGCCUCAUCACAGAUGGGGACGACUUGGAGUACAGAGGACUGACACAGGACUUUGUGGACUGGUGCCAGCGGAACUGCCUCCAGAUCAACACGGGGAAAACCAGAGAGCUGGUGGUGGAUUUCCGCAGGCGCAUCCACUCUCCUCCAACACCAGUGAACAUUCAGGGAAUGGACAUUGAGAUGGUGACAUCUUACAAGUACCUGGGUGUUCAUCUCAACAAUAGACUGGACUGGACUCAUCACACGGAAGCACUUUACAGGAAGGGCAUGAGCAGACUCUAUCUGCUCAGGAGACUGAGGUCUUUUGGAGUGCAAGGGGCACUCCUCAAGACGUUCUAUGACUCUGUUGUGGCUUCAGCCAUUUUCCAGGGAGUGGUCUGCUGGGGCAGCAGCAUUUCGGCUGCGGAUAGGAAGAGACUGGAUAAGAUCAUCAGGAAGGCCAGCUCUGCACUGGGUUGCCCUCUUGACCCAGUGGAGGUGGUGGGAGAGAGGAGGAUGUUGGCUAAGCUAUCAUCCAUGUUGGAGAACGACUCCCACCCCCUGCAGGACACUUUGACAGCACUUGAGAGCUCCUUCAGCGAUAGACUGCUUCACCCCAAGUGUGUGAAGGAGCGAUAUCGCAGGUCCUUUCUUCCUGCAGCUGUCAGGUUGUACAACCAGCACUGCUCCCAAUAGACUUCUACACUGCUAUGUACAUCUGUGCAAUACUUUGCUUUUUACAGUAUAGUUACUCCAGACCCCAUUCACUGUGCAAUAUCUGAUCAACCUCCAUGUGCAAUAUUAAGGGCUCUAAAUGCAAUAUACUAAGUUCUAUGUGAAGUGUUUCCAUAAUGCCUCAUAUUAACUCCCUAACAAGAUCUCAGUGUAUAGACUGGUCAUAUAUCUCAUCUCGUCUCAUAUUAUCUACAUACUGUAUUGUAUAUAACUCUGGGAAAAACUGUUGAUUUUUAUUAAUACUUGGGUCGUUUAUAUUGUUUAUUUUUCUAUAUUGUGUAUUUUGUACUGCUUAACUGACUCUGUACUCUUGCUGCUGUGCAAUACAAAUUUCCCCACUGAGGGACGAAUAAAGGCAUAUCUUAAUCUUAAUCUUAAUCUAGUGCAGACAAGAUCCAGGAUGUGUCCUCUGGUGUGGGUGGGGAAGUUAACUUGUUGAGUGAUGGAGAAACAGCUGAGAAGAUCAAGGAAUUCUGUCGCAGGUUUGGAGUUGGAAUUGUCAAUAUGAAGGUUGAAAUCACCGAGCAGAAGGAUGGAUGAUGAGAUCGCAUUUAAUUGGGUGAUGAGGUUCGUAAAAUCUGAUAGGAAAGAAGAAUUUGGUUUUGGGGGGCGAUAGAUGACAGCAGUGACAAGGGGGGAUGGACCGGACAGUUUGAAGGCAGUGAAUUCGAAGGAGUGAACAUUUUGGAGGGAUAUUUGAGUGACUUUGAUGUCCUUUUUAUAUAUGACUGCUGUGCCACCGCCACGUCCGUCAGGACGGGCGUUUUCAAGGUAAGUAAAUCCAGGAGGUGUUGCUUGGUUUAGGGAGAAAUAGUCCAAAGGUUUGUGCCAGGUUUCUGUCAAACAGAGGAAGUCCAGUUUAUUUUCAGUGAUGUAUUCAUUUAGAAUGAGAGCCUUGUUGUUGAGAGAGCGGACAUUUAGGAGGGAUAAUUUGAGAUUAUAAGAGUUCAUCAUUUGAUCUUGGCUGCGGGAGAGUGGGCGGAGAUUUAUCAAAUUUGCAUGUUUAUUGUUGUAAUAGCGGAGUCCAGUCGGGCGGUAUGACCAGUGGGAUGGGAUCUUGUUUGUAGGUGAAAGAACAGGCUGAAAAGUAGAGCAAGCAGUAGCAGGGUGCAGUGAACGCUGUGGCCUGCAGGAGGAGCUGUGGGUAAAAUUGUAGCCGGAUAUGGAAGAAGAAAAAGAGGGCGUGUCUGACUAAAUGUAAAUAGUCACGCACUGUGAACAAGCCAAGCUUGCUAGGAUGGAGACCGUCAGUAGUAGUCCGAUUUGAAUCAAACUUUACAUUUUGGCUGACAUUUGGAUUUGUGUGUAAAAGUUAACAUUAUAAUACGUAAAAGACCUGUAUGCGGUAUCCGAGGCAAGACGCUCAUCAUUAACUUACCAGGAAGUAAGAAAGGCUCCCAGGAAUGCUUCCAGUUCAUCCUGCCGGCGCUGCCCCACGCCAUCGACCUCCUGCGUGACGCCGUG